Molecule: long non-coding RNA, 150 nt
Organism: Rhagoletis zephyria (snowberry fruit fly)
Lineage: Eukaryota; Metazoa; Arthropoda; Insecta; Diptera; Tephritidae
Source: RefSeq, a predicted model, not a curated record
GACUGUAGAUGAGUACAGAGAAAAUUUGCAUUUCUUUUCGUUUCUAUAUCACAUUCAUAUGUUAUAUAAAGGGUUUUACAAUAAGGACGGGUAUACGUCAAACAAUCUAUUGAGAAAUUAAUAUUCAAUUUUCAAAAAUCAAAAUGGCGG